GUCCACAACAUGGCUGGUACUGAUAAUAUGAUCAUCGUCGCUCCCCCGAUGGCCAGCAACCAAAUUAUCACCGUCUGGACUAUCGGAAGUACGUAAAGCACCAUUUUCAAGAGGAAGAGGAGGUCGUCCGGUAUCGAGGAAUGAUCUUUGCGCUGUGGAUUUCUGGAUCUGGAUGAAGUCCUAUAACGUUAUCUAACAAACUGGGGUCAGCAUCGAGGAAAUGUGGCAUGGACAUUGCUGCUGGGAUACCUGUAAAUAAAGAGGAAGCUUCAUCAUUCUAUUUUGCGAGCUCGAAGAACUCGGUGUACGAAAGAUUAUAACUUGAGAGAAAGCACCAUAGGAAUUCAUCCCCCUCGUAGACGACUUACGUUAUGGAACCAGCACCAGUGCAAUACUAUUACCACGGUCAUCGGUAAUCAGAUUAACACAUUUGGGAAAUAUCAAUUUUUACACGUGUAUAAUAGAUGCGCAGAAGACUAUUCUUCUUUAAUGACAGAAAGACGCAAUCCUGAUAAAAUGACGCGGAGAGAAAAAAAGAAUUCAUUAACUUAAUCCUCUGAUGACCGCACGUUUCUGCGGAUCUAUAACUCUAAAUACUUACACAGGAACUAUGACUUCAAUAAUAUAUUUUUUAAUAUUUCAAUGGAGUUUUAUGAGUACUCGGUACUUUGCUCUUUCAAUGUUUUUGAAGUGUUGUCUAUUGAUACCUACUUUUGUAACAAUUACAUCAACUAAAGGCAGGUUUCCUAUGCCACCGGAGAGCACCUUUCAUUUCACGUUAAGCAAUAAUAAUGUAUAGUGCUCCCGUUGAAAAAUACUUUUGCUGGUAAAAGUGAUUUUCGUAACUACUGCAAAAACGGACCAACAUAUUCGCCGACUUAAAUAGUUGAAUAAUUUGACGUCGUUAAAAUUGACUGAUUAUGUGCCUUUGAAUACACUAUUUAUUAAUUGUCUACGAUAAAACUGGUUGAGCAAAGACAGCCAUACUAAAAAUAGCUCCACUAUAAUUUAGCUUACGAAAGAUAUUAAGAAUUAUUUUUUUUUUAUGGUAAACAUUUUUGUUUAUAGAAACACUCAGCAAAAGUUGCAACAGAGGUAACUCUUGCAACACACCAUGUAUCUACCCCAUGUUGACCACCUGUUCGUUUUUUUAAUUUAUGCUUAGAUGACUUCAGUUAUUUCCUUAAGGAUCUUUUUUUCCACCUCUAAAAGCAUGCAUGAAAAAUUGCAGUGCAACAGAAGCGUCAGAAUAACGGCAGCAUUCCAACGAGGUGUUUUUCAGUGUUUUACGCGAUCGUUUUUUGCAAACAAGAUGGUUGGAUGUUUAUGCAACGUUCACUUCGCUGGGGUUAGCUAGAAAAAAAUUGUCUAGUUGACUGUACAACCUAAUUAAUACAAAUAUUAAGUUUGAUUUAAAUUUAAAUUUUUUUUACUCCGUUCUGACAGAACGGUCCAACGGUUCUGACAGAAGUCCAACAUGUUGUAAUACAAAUAUAAAGAUAGAAAUUUUUUUUACUCUUGAGCAGAUGUAAAAAAAAUUCUUUCGAACGGAAUUUCCAUUGCGUUUACCAUUUUUUAGAAAAAAAAAAUCACAAACUUACAUAUGAAUUUCGGCCGUCCAAGGUGACCUACCCCCUUAAUUGUUUCACGAUCCCAUUUCUUUUUUCUCGAGGGAAUUGAACGUUAUUAACAUUAAUUAAAGCAAAGUGCUAUCCUCUGUUCGUUCAUAACUAUUUUUUUUAUCCUUUUGGAUUGUAUGAUGAAUGAUUAACAUAAAUUCAAUUUAGUUUUGAUCUAAAGAGAAACUUGGUAACAAAUGGCAAUGAGUUUAUUCAAAUGCACGCGUUAGAGACUGAUAGGAUAUCGUCUUUUCUUUUUUUUUUUAUUGUUUAUAAGCGAUUUGUAGCCGUGACCUAAGAGAAAAAAGAAACAUGCAUUCAGUCUGCUUCGGUUUUUAUACGACGCGGAUAGCGUAAUAACAUAUAGGAAAAUUGUUUGUCGAAUAGUUUAUCUGCUCACAUAAUUAUCCGGAAGAUGCAUCUGUGUUUUCAAACAUCUUGCAUUUUAUUAGCUGAUGCGGCUCGUAAACAUACACAUUUAUUUCAAUUUGUUUUGACUGUUGCAAUUGAUUUUUACAAAGGUUAAAAAAAAAUAGAGUUCAAGAUAAUCUCGAGGAAAAUUAGAGAAAAUUCUCGAUUAGAUUGUUUCAUUUUAAUAAAGUUUCUGGAGAGAGCAUUGAUCGAGUAUGGAUGUAAUAAAUUAUGGACAUACUUCAUAUUCAUUAUAAUAAUCAAUGCAUGAUUAACCAGGAAUGUUAUAAAUUGUCCGUACUUUUAUCAAAGUUAAUUAUAAAUGCAUCAGCAUAAACAGUUGCGUGUAAUUAGAGUUAUCAUUUAUAAAUGGUUUUCGGAAGUUAUUUGGUAAACAAUGAGAUCAACGAAUAUCAAUGAUUACUUAAAAUAAUUCGAUAGAUAAACAUAACAUGUUUUACACGCAAUGUAUAUUUCAACGAUUAAGAAUUUGUUAAAAUAAAAUUAAUGGGACAAGGAAGUCACUUUGAAAUGUAGCGACAAAAUCAUAAACAACACUUUACGUAGAAUGAAUUUAAAAUAACGUGCAAUGGAGCAAAAUGUUGUAUAAAAAAUGACGUUGAUGCCUCAGGAUUGUAUAAAUAUUAAGUUUUCAUUUUUAAGAAUUUGAUAUCGAUCCUACGUAAGGAUUUGCAUUAAAAAACAUUUCCUGCUAGAACGGUAUUUGCAUCAGUCUAACAAAAAGAAGAUAUACGUUCAAAAGUAUGCUGAUCAGUAGAUGAUAACAUUAUAAAUAUAAAGACUAGUAUAAAUA
Molecule: non-coding RNA, 2844 nt
Organism: Osmia lignaria (orchard mason bee)
Lineage: Eukaryota; Metazoa; Arthropoda; Insecta; Hymenoptera; Megachilidae
Source: RefSeq, a predicted model, not a curated record